CCUAAGUUGAGGCAGCG
This 17-nucleotide unclassified non-coding RNA is filed under the name Mus musculus (house mouse). RNAcentral describes it as "oocyte_clustered_small_RNA6294". The record is from RNAcentral. Lineage: Eukaryota; Metazoa; Chordata; Mammalia; Rodentia; Muridae.